This 75-nucleotide transfer RNA is filed under the name Streptomyces cavourensis. Its description in RNAcentral is "tRNA-Trp". It matches the Rfam family "tRNA". From Rfam's summary of the family: Transfer RNA (tRNA) molecules are approximately 80 nucleotides in length. Their secondary structure includes four short double-helical elements and three loops (D, anti-codon, and T loops). Further hydrogen bonds mediate the characteristic L-shaped molecular structure. tRNAs have two regions of fundamental functional importance: the anti-codon, which is responsible for specific mRNA codon recognition, and the 3' end, to which the tRNAs corresponding amino acid is attached (by aminoacyl-tRNA synthetases). tRNAs cope with the degeneracy of the genetic code in two manners: having more than one tRNA (with a specific anti-codon) for a particular amino acid; and 'wobble' base-pairing, i.e. permitting non-standard base-pairing at the 3rd anti-codon position. RNAcentral also lists the same sequence under 1 other name. The record is from RNAcentral. Lineage: Bacteria; Bacillati; Actinomycetota; Actinomycetes; Kitasatosporales; Streptomycetaceae.
UCCGGGAUAGUUCAGCGGUAGAACAUCCGGCUCCAGUCUGGAUAGGCGCUGGUUCGACUCCAGCUCCCGGAUCCC